UGUUAUUCACAUGUAAGCCCCAAAUCCACCUGGAGUUGUGUGUACGGUGUUGGCGAGGAUCUAAUUUUACUUUUCCCAUAUGGAUCACCACUUGUCCCAACACAUUUAUAAAAGAAUCUGUCUUUCCCCCACUGGUUGGUGAUGUCUCUCUGUCAUAUGGCAAACUCUCCUAUAGUCACAGUUACAUUUCUAUGUCCCUCUUUUGUCCACUUCUUCUCUUUAUAGCUCAAUGUCAAAACCUUUUUACCUUAAUUUCUGCAAAGUUCCCCCCACCACCACUUGGUGGUAUUGGGGAUGGACCCAGAGCCUCAUGAAUGCUAAGCAAGGGCUCUACCACUGAGCUACAUUCCCAGCCCUGUAAAAAAGUCUUAAUAUUUGGUAAGACCUGUAGACUUUAAGGUGAAAAUGAUGUUGUCACCUUGUUACUCCUGGGCUUCAGAGGCCAAGACCAAGGGAUCAGGCGUUCAAUCAGUGACUGGUACAGUGUCCAAGUGAGAGGUGAGCAGCCCUGUCUUAGGUGGUGGCUGAAGAGAGGGCUGGAGUUGGAUGUGACUGGAGGUAAACAGACAGACUUGCUGGAGGACUGCAUGUGAGGGUGAAGCAAAAUAGGAUAAAGAUGGCUCUUUGGCUUUUGGCCUAAGUGGAGGAUGGUAGUGCCAUUUACUGAGAUGAGAAAGCCCGGGUAAAGCUGACAGAUGGGCC
Molecule: long non-coding RNA, 702 nt
Filed under: Marmota monax (woodchuck)
Lineage: Eukaryota; Metazoa; Chordata; Mammalia; Rodentia; Sciuridae
Source: RNAcentral